UUUGACUCUUCGUCUUAUUUAAAAUUGUUUUGAUUAAUAUUUUUAUUGUCACUAGAUGGUAAAAGAUGAAUAGUACUUUAUGCGUGACUUAUUUUAAGAUUUAUACAAAUUGUUUAAAUAAGACGAAUGGUCAAA
RNAcentral lists this microRNA precursor (135 nucleotides) under Oryza brachyantha (malo sina). RNAcentral's name for it is "MIR812 microRNA precursor family". It matches the Rfam family "MIR812 microRNA precursor family", at positions 33 to 173 of the family's 205-position model. The record is from Rfam by way of RNAcentral. Lineage: Eukaryota; Viridiplantae; Streptophyta; Magnoliopsida; Poales; Poaceae.